AUUGAACGCUGGCGGCAGGCCUAACACAUGCAAGUCGAACGGUAGCACAGAGAGCUUGCUCUCGGGUGACGAGUGGCGGACGGGUGAGUAAUGUCUGGGAAACUGCCCGAUGGCGGGGGAUAACUACUGGAAACGGUAGCUAAUACCGCAUCACGUCGCAAGACCAAAGUGGGGGACCUUCGGGCCUCACACCAUCGGAUGUGCCCAGGUGGGAUUAGCUAGUAGGUGGGGUAAUGGCUCACCUAGGCGACGAUCCCUAGCUGGUCUGAGAGGAUGACCAGCCACACUGGAACUGAGACACGGUCCAGACUCCUACGGGAGGCAGCAGUGGGGAAUAUUGCACAAUGGGCGCAAGCCUGAUGCAGCCAUGCCGCGUGUAUGAAGAAGGCCUUCGGGUUGUAAAGUACUUUCAGCGGGGAGGAAGGCGGUGAAGUUAAUAACUUCACCGAUUGACGUUACCCGCAGAAGAAGCACCGGCUAACUCCGUGCCAGCAGCCGCCGUAA
RNAcentral lists this ribosomal RNA (504 nucleotides) under uncultured bacterium. RNAcentral describes it as "partial 16S ribosomal RNA". It matches the Rfam family "Bacterial small subunit ribosomal RNA", at positions 30 to 523 of the family's 1533-position model. The record is from RNAcentral.